UAAUGCCUGGAGGGGAGCUCCAAAAUGCGGGGCUGAGAGGAAGGAGUCAAUCCUUCGACCCUUCGAACCUGAUCCGGGUAAUACCGGCGGAGGGACCAGGUGACUCAAAAAU
Molecule: non-coding RNA, 112 nt
Filed under: Fervidobacterium nodosum
Lineage: Bacteria; Thermotogati; Thermotogota; Thermotogae; Thermotogales; Fervidobacteriaceae
Also listed under: 1 other name
Description: TPP sequence
Rfam family: TPP riboswitch aptamer (THI element)
About the family: Vitamin B(1) in its active form thiamin pyrophosphate (TPP) is an essential coenzyme that is synthesised by coupling of pyrimidine and thiazole moieties in bacteria. The previously detected thiamin-regulatory element, thi box was extended, resulting in a new, highly conserved RNA secondary structure, the THI element, which is widely distributed in eubacteria and also occurs in some archaea.
Source: RNAcentral